This 500-nucleotide ribosomal RNA is filed under the name uncultured bacterium. Its description in RNAcentral is "partial 16S ribosomal RNA". It matches the Rfam family "Bacterial small subunit ribosomal RNA", at positions 30 to 523 of the family's 1533-position model. The record is from RNAcentral.
AUUGAACGCUGGCGGCAGGCCUAACACAUGCAAGUCGAGCGGAUGAAGGUAGCUUGCUACCUGAUUCAGCGGCGGACGGGUGAGUAAUGCCUAGGAAUCUGCCUGGUAGUGGGGGACAACGUUUCGAAAGGAACGCUAAUACCGCAUACGUCCUACGGGAGAAAGUGGGGGAUCUUCGGACCUCACGCUAUCAGAUGAGCCUAGGUACGAUUAGCUAGUUGGUGAGGUAAAGGCUCACCAAGGCGACGAUCGUUAACUGGUCUGAGAGGAUGAUCAGUCACACUGGAACUGAGACACGGGCCAGACUCCUACGGGAGGCAGCAGUGGGGAAUAUUGGACAAUGGGCGAAAGCCUGAUCCAGCCAUGCCGCGUGUGUGAAGAAGGUUUUCGGAUUGUAAAGCACUUUAAGUUGGGAGGAAGGGCAGUAAGUUAAUACCUUGCUGUUUUGACGUUACCGACAGAAUAAGCACCGGCUAACUUCGUGCCAGCAGCCGCAGUAA